GACGAACGCUGGCGGCGCGCUUAACACAUGCAAGUCGAACGGAAAGGCCCUGCUUUUGUGGGGUGCUCGAGUGGCGAACGGGUGAGUAACACGUGAGUAACCUGCCCUUGACUUUGGGAUAACUUCAGGAAACUGGGGCUAAUACCGGAUAGGAGCUCCUGCUGCAUGGUGGGGGUUGGAAAGUUUCGGCGGUUGGGGAUGGACUCGCGGCUUAUCAGCUUGUUGGUGGGGUAGUGGCUUACCAAGGCUUUGACGGGUAGCCGGCCUGAGAGGGUGACCGGCCACAUUGGGACUGAGAUACGGCCCAGACUCCUACGGGAGGCAGCAGUGGGGAAUAUUGCACAAUGGGCGGAAGCCUGAUGCAGAAACGCCGCGUGCGGGAUGAAGGCCUUCGGGUUGUAAACCGCUUUCGCCUGUGACGAAGCGUGAGUGACGGUAAUGGGUAAAGAAGCACCGGCUAACUACGUG
RNAcentral lists this ribosomal RNA (468 nucleotides) under uncultured bacterium. RNAcentral describes it as "partial 16S ribosomal RNA". It matches the Rfam family "Bacterial small subunit ribosomal RNA", at positions 28 to 507 of the family's 1533-position model. The record is from RNAcentral.